UUCGGCGUGCUUAACACAUGCAAGUCGAACGGAAAGGCCCUGCUUUUGUGGGGUGCUCGAGUGGCGAACGGGUGAGUAACACGUGAGUAACCUGCCCUUGACUUUGGAAUAACUUCAGGAAACUGGGGCUAAUACCGGAUAGGAGCUCCUGCUGCAUGGUGGGGGUUGGAAAGUUUCGGCGGUUGGGGAUGGACUCGCGGCUUAUCAGCUUGUUGGUGGGGUAGUGGCUUACCAAGGCUUUGACGGGUAGCCGGCCUGAGAGGGUGACCGGCCACAUUGGGACUGAGAUACGGCCCAGACUCCUACGGGAGGCAGCAGUGGGGAAUAUUGCACAAUGGGCGGAAGCCUGAUGCAGCAACGCCGCGUGCGGGAUGACGGCCUUCGGGUUGUAAACCGCUUUCGCCUGUGACGAAGCGUGAGUGACGGUAAUGGGUAAAGAAGCACCGGCUAACUACGUGCCAGCAGCCGCGGUGAUACGUAGGGUGCGAGCGUUGUCCGGAUUUAUUGGGCGUAAAGGGCUCGUAGGUGGUUGAUCGCGUCGGAAGUGUAAUCUUGGGGCUUAACCCUGAGCGUGCUUUCGAUACGGGUUGACUUGAGGAAGGUAGGGGAGAAUGGAAUUCCUGGUGGAGCGGUGGAAUGCGCAGAUAUCAGGAGGAACACCAGUGGCGAAGGCGGUUCUCUGGGCCUUUCCUGACGCUGAGGAGCGAAAGCGUGGGGAGCGAACAGGCUUAGAUACCCUGGUAGUCCACGCUGUAAACGGUGGGUACUAGGUGUGGGGUCCAUUCCACGGGUUCCGUGCCGUAGCUAACGCUUUAAGUACCCCGCCUGGGGAGUACGGCCGCAAGGCUAAAACUCAAAGGAAUUGACGGGGCCCCGCACAAGCGGCGGAGCAUGCGGAUUAAUUCGAUGCAACGCGUAGAACCUUACCUGGGUUUGACAUGGAUCGGGAGUGCUCAGAGAUGGGUGUGCCUCUUUUGGGGUCGGUUCACAGGUGGUGCAUGGCUGUCGUCAGCUCGUGUCGUGAGAUGUUGGGUUAAGUCCCGCAACGAGCGCAACCCUUGUUCACUGUUGCCAGCACGUUAUGGUGGGGACUCAGUGGAGACCGCCGGGGUCAACUCGGAGGAAGGUGGGGAUGACGUCAAGUCAUCAUGCCCCUUAUGUCCAGGGCUUCACGCAUGCUACAAUGGCUGGUACAGAGAGUGGCGAGCCUGUGAGGGUGAGCGAAUCUCGGAAAGCCGGUCUCAGUUCGGAUUGGGGUCUGCAACUCGACCUCAUGAAGUCGGAGUCGCUAGUAAUCGCAGAUCAGCAACGCUGCGGUGAAUACGUUCCCGGGGCUUGUACACACCGCCCGUCAAGUCAUGAAAGUUGGUAACACCCGAAGCCGGUGGCCUAACCGUUGUGGGGGAGCCGUCGAAGGUGGGACUGGUGAUUAGG
This 1434-nucleotide ribosomal RNA is filed under the name uncultured organism. RNAcentral describes it as "partial small subunit ribosomal RNA". It matches the Rfam family "Bacterial small subunit ribosomal RNA". The record is from RNAcentral.